RNAcentral lists this ribosomal RNA (503 nucleotides) under uncultured bacterium. RNAcentral's name for it is "partial 16S ribosomal RNA". It matches the Rfam family "Bacterial small subunit ribosomal RNA", at positions 30 to 523 of the family's 1533-position model. The record is from RNAcentral.
AUUGAACGCUGGCGGCAGGCUUAACACAUGCAAGUCGAGCGGAGUGAUGGUGCUUGCACUAUCACUUAGCGGCGGACGGGUGAGUAAUGCUUAGGAAUCUGCCUAUUAGUGGGGGACAACAUCUCGAAAGGGAUGCUAAUACCGCAUACGUCCUACGGGAGAAAGCAGGGGAUCACUUGUGCCCUUGCGUUAAAGGAUGACCCUAGUCGGAUUAGCUUAGUUGGUGGGGUAAAGGCCUACCAAGGCGACGAUCUGUAGCGGGUCUGAGAGGAUGAUCCGCCACACUGGGACUGAGACACGGCCCAGACUCCUACGGGAGGCAGCAGUGGGGAAUAUUGGACAAUGGGGGGAACCCUGAUCCAGCCAUGCCGCGUGUGUGAAGAAGGCCUUAUGGUUGUAAAGCACUUUAAGCGAGGAGGAGGCUCUUUUGGUUAAUACCCAAGAUGAGUGGACGUUACUCGCAGAAUAAGCACCGGCUAACUCUGUGCCAGCAGCCGCGGUAA